GUCUAUGGCCAUGCCACCCUGAACAAGCCCGAUCCUGUCUGAUCUCAGAAGCUAAGCAGGGUUGCGCCUGGUUAGUACUUGGAUGGGAGACCACCUAGGAAGACCAGGUGCUGUAGGCA
This 119-nucleotide ribosomal RNA is filed under the name Pteropus alecto (black flying fox). Lineage: Eukaryota; Metazoa; Chordata; Mammalia; Chiroptera; Pteropodidae. The record is from RNAcentral.